AAAAUGUUCCAGCACAAAAUAACAAGGAGUGUCUGACUCUGACAGUAAAUAUUCAUAUCAGAUGCUUUAAAUAGUGCUGCAUAUACAUAUAAGGUGUUAGUUCUACAGUUCAGGAUAGUUCAGUUCUCACCUACUCAUCAUGUUGAAGCUGAUCCUCUCUGUGACCGUCCUCUGGACAUUCUUCAGUCAAGCUGCAGCACUUGAUUGUCUAAGUUGCAAUGGUACAUGUUCAACUGAAACUACAGUUACAUGUUCUACAGAAACUAUGUGUGUAACUGCCACCAUCACAGAGACAUCCAUUUUUUCAGCUGACACAACAAAAAUCCACAAAGGAUGUGCAUCAUCAGAUCUGUGUCCAAUCACAGGCUCUCAAACAUAUGAACUUAACUUGGGUGUUUCAGGUGCACUGAUAUCUGUUGAGUGCUGUAACUUUGAUGGGUGUAACAAUGAUACCUUACCUGCACAUACUCAGUCACAGACUCUAAGUGGUCUCAGUUGUUUCUCCUGUGUAUUCGGUCGAUGUGAUGGUUCGAUUGACUGUAAGGGAGACGAGACCCUGUGUAUUCAAGGAACAUUGAACGAAGAAAUUCGUGGUUGUGUAUCACCAAAUGUGUGUCCUGCAAGUAGAAGGUUGGGAGAACUACCAUUAUUACCAGAUUUAGGAACCUUCAGCUCUGGACCAAACUGUUGUGAUACAGAUGAAUGUAAUGAUGGAACUACAACUACCCCACCUCCAACUACAACACCUGAAAGACUCAGAUGUCAAAGUUGCAAUGGUUCAUGUUCAACUGAAACUACAGUUACAUGUUCUACAGAAACUAUGUGUGUAACUGCCACCAUCACAGAUGUUUUAGCUGAAGAUGAGAGUUUUUUCAAAGGAUGUGCUCCUCCCACACUGUGUCCACACAACGGCACCUUUAACUUUUCUACUGAUGUGUUUGAUUCACAUAAAAUCAUAGAUGCUGAAUGCUGCGACACAAACAACUGCAACUCAGAAACUCUGCCUGUUCCUGUUCAACAGGAAACAAAUGGACUUGAGUGUUACGUCUGUAUCUUCUUCUCUGGAUCCAACGUUUGUACAGCGUUUACUGUCCAAUGUAAAGGAGCACAGGAUCGCUGCUUUAUUGGAUCUGCCUCAACUGAUAAUGGAGUUCUACUUGUUGCUGGCUGCACAUCAACAGAUGUGUGUGAUAUUGCUCCUGAUCACGGUGUACUGCCAUUUAUGGAAGAAGUGGGAAAUCUAACCAGUGGACCAACCUGUUGUGGAACAAACCGCUGCAACGUCUAGGCAGCAACAACUGGACCAACUACAACUCCCUAACACCAGCAACUGUUCUGCUACUUAUUCUGCUACUGUUUAAUGUGAACUGGUUAAAAAAAUAUUUACUGCUUUUCUACUUGGAACUGUAAUCCAAGUCUUUAAAUCAAAAAUAAUAAUCAAUGAUUUAAUGAAUCAACUAUUAAUAUGUUAUAGAGGGUGAACAUUUAUUUUUACAGAUAGACAUUAUUUUCCAGGUUAUGUAUUUGUAAUACUCUUGACUUUCUACAUUUUGCAAAAAACAACAAUGAUAAUAAUAAUGCUGCUUUACUCUGAACAGCAGUGGUACCAAGGGUAAAUUAAAUGAUUAAUGUGUCAAACUAACUAUGUCACUUGUUAUCUGGGAAAAAUGAAAUGAAAUAAAGAUUUACUCUAACUGUAAUGUAACA
Molecule: long non-coding RNA, 1707 nt
Organism: Gouania willdenowi (blunt-snouted clingfish)
Lineage: Eukaryota; Metazoa; Chordata; Actinopteri; Blenniiformes; Gobiesocidae
Source: Ensembl